This 459-nucleotide ribosomal RNA is filed under the name uncultured bacterium. Its description in RNAcentral is "partial 16S ribosomal RNA". It matches the Rfam family "Bacterial small subunit ribosomal RNA", at positions 338 to 795 of the family's 1533-position model. The record is from RNAcentral.
CCUACGGGGGGCAGCAGUGAGGAAUAUUGGUCAAUGGCCGGAAGGCUGAACCAGCCAAGCCGCGUGAAGGACGAAGGUGCCAAGCAUUGUAAACUUCUUUUGUCAAGGAACAAAAUCAGGCUCGAGAGCCUGACCGAGGGUACUUGAAGAAAAAGCAUCGGCUAACUCCGUGCCAGCAGCCGCGGUAAUACGGAGGAUGCGAGCGUUAUCCGGAUUUAUUGGGUUUAAAGGGUGCGUAGGCGGACUGUUAAGUCAGCGGUAAAAGCCCGGGGCUCAACCCCGGCGAGCCGUUGAAACUGGCUGUCGUGAGAUGUCUAGAGGUAUGCGGAAUGCGCAGUGUAGCGGUGAAAUGCUUAGAUAUUGCGCAGAACUCCGAUUGCGAAGGCAGCAUACCGGCGGCGAUCUGACGCUGAGGCACGAAAGCGUGGGUAUCGAACAGGAUUAGAUACCCGGGUAGUC